Long non-coding RNA from Stomoxys calcitrans (stable fly), 472 nucleotides. RefSeq lists it as uncharacterized. The transcript has 2 exons. The record is from RefSeq and is a predicted model, not a curated record. NCBI's taxonomy places the organism in Eukaryota, Metazoa, Arthropoda, Insecta, Diptera, Muscidae.
CACUGUCUGGUAACAAUCAUGAUUUUUUGACCUAAAAAGGCAACAUAAAUCUGUUUUCAGGACAUUGCAUAGCCAGACAGACGGAUGGGCCAUCAACAACUCAGCAAUGGCACAAUGUCACAUUGAAUUCCAUGGCAAACCAAUGCCAUUCAAAGCCGAGAGAAACAAAACAGAAAGACGAAACCCAAAACAAAAAUAAAACAACGUAAAUAUAUUGAGACAUUUAUAUUCCACUGGGGAAAUGCAUGGAUCCCCUCUUAUAAAAGGGGAGCUACUGCGGAAAAGGUCCUCUAAAAGGGCAUUCGGUGGGGCACAAGAACAAUUUCAAUGUCCCUUCCUUUAGCCUUGUCUGUGGAAGUGUGGAAUACAAACGCAUGAAAAAGGCCACGAGGAGGAAAUGGAAAACAAAAAAUGACUAUAAUUUUUAAUUUGUGUAAAGCAGAGUAUUAAACUUUCCUUUUCUUUGCUCCUA